ACGAACCGUACGAACGUUAUUCGGAAUUACUGGGCUUAAAGGGUGCGUAGGCGGCGCAGUAAGUUGGGUGUGAAAUCCCUCGGCUUAACCGAGGAAUUGCGCCCAAAACUACUGUGCUCGAGGGAGAUAGAGGUGAGCGGAACUUAGGGUGGAGCGGUGAAAUGCGUUGAUAUCCUAAGGAACACCGGUGGCGAAAGCGGCUCACUGGAUCUCUUCUGACGCUGAGGCACGAAAGCUAGGGUAGCAAACGGGA
RNAcentral lists this ribosomal RNA (253 nucleotides) under uncultured prokaryote. RNAcentral describes it as "partial 16S ribosomal RNA". It matches the Rfam family "Bacterial small subunit ribosomal RNA", at positions 525 to 777 of the family's 1533-position model. The record is from RNAcentral.